GACGAACGCUGGCGGCGUGCUUAACACAUGCCAGUCGAACGGAAAGGCCCUGCUUUUGUGGGGUGCUCGAGUGGAGAACGGGUGAGUUACACGUGAGUAACCUGCCAUUGACCUUGGGGUAACUUCAGGAAACAGGAGCUACUACCGGAAAGGAGCUCCUGCUGCUUGGUGGGGGUUGGAAAGUUUAGGCGGUUGGGGAUGGACUCGCGGCUUAUCAGCUUGUUGGUGGGGUAGUGGCUUACCAAGGCUUUGACGGGUAGCCGGCCUGAGAGGCUGACCGGCCACAUUGGGACUGAGAUACGGCCCAGACUCCUACGGGAGGCAGCAGUGGGGAAUAUUGCACAAUGGGCGGAAGCCGGAUGCAGCAACGCCGCGUGCGGGAUGACGGCCUUCGGGUUGUAAACCGCUUUCGCCUUUAACGAAGCGUGAGUGACGGUAAUGGGUAAAGAAGCACCGGCUAACUACGUG
RNAcentral lists this ribosomal RNA (468 nucleotides) under uncultured bacterium. RNAcentral describes it as "partial 16S ribosomal RNA". It matches the Rfam family "Bacterial small subunit ribosomal RNA", at positions 28 to 507 of the family's 1533-position model. The record is from RNAcentral.